GAAUACCAGGAGUCGGCCUCUGCAACCUUGGAGCUGAUACAGAGGAACCAAAUGCACAGCGAAAGCAGGAGUGAGCCGCAAAACCGGAAAGGUCGUUCAGAGGAAGCCAUUGCCAAUUGACCCACAUGUUACGCGCUUUCUCGCAGACCUGAAGGAGUUUGAGUGAGUUUGAGAGAACUCCAACAUGUUGACGUAUCAGAGCUAAGAAGGAUCAGAGUUUCAAAGGUUGGGGUGAUAAUCUGCACGCCACCGAGAUUUAUUCGAGACUUGUUUGCGUCUCUCAUUCUCUCAGAAAUCCUGCCAUGCGGUUUGGGUCAGAAAAUUAUCUGCUUGCGCCUGUGUUGGCUUGCGGUAGCGUGCUUCUCUGGCUCCAGUCUAGCCCUGCUCGCUCCACUCUAUCAUCCUUUUCUCUCAACCCCUUUCUCUCUCGAUCUCUCUCAAAGACAGGCAGGCAAGCAGUUCUUGUUAUAGGUUUUUGUGAAAAUGUCUUCCUUUUAAACUGUUUUCCUAUUUUUCAUUGAUCUGUUUAGAUUAUUUUUUAUAUAUAUUUUUUUUUACAUAAUCCUGUAUUUUCAAGAAUGACUUAUUCUGAUGUCUUGGUUUGUGUAUGGUGAAGUACAUUAUUGGCCAGUAUUUGUCAAUGUUCUUAUCACUGUGUCUCUUUCUCUCCCCUACUAUCUGGAGUUGUAAUGUUGCUCUUUUCAAAUGUUGUUAUUUUUGGUUAAAGUGCAAUUCAUGUUAUGAAUUUGAAUAAAUAUAUAUAUUUGUA
Salvelinus sp. IW2-2015 is the source of this 769-nucleotide non-coding RNA. The record is from RefSeq and is a predicted model, not a curated record. NCBI's taxonomy places the organism in Eukaryota, Metazoa, Chordata, Actinopteri, Salmoniformes, Salmonidae.